This is a long non-coding RNA of Aricia agestis (brown argus), 75 nucleotides long. RefSeq lists it as uncharacterized. The transcript is spliced from 3 exons. Lineage: Eukaryota; Metazoa; Arthropoda; Insecta; Lepidoptera; Lycaenidae. The record is from RefSeq and is a predicted model, not a curated record.
UCACGGUGUAUCCAGUGCGCCUAGCAUGCGCCAACGAGAAAAUGUUGUCUACAUGUUUUCUCGAUGUUUGAUGGU